CUACGGGCGGCUGCAGGCGCGAAACCUUUACACUGCGCGAAAGCGUGAUAGGGGGACUCCCAGUGUUAGUUUACUAACUUUUGUUAAGUGUAAACAGCUUAACGAAUAAGUGGGGGGCAAGAUACGUGCCAGCCGCCGCGGUAACACGUACCCCACCAGUGGUUCUCACGAAUAUUGGGCCUAAAGCAUCUGUAGCCGGUUCAGUAAGUCUUUUGUUAAAUCUGCUAGCCUAACUAGCAACCUGCAAAAGAUACUGCUAGACUAGGAACAGGGAGACGUUAGGGGUAUUUCUGGGGUACCGGUGAAAUGGGAUAAUCCUAGAAGGACCACCUGUAGCGAAGGCGCCUAACGAGAACUGAUUCGACGGUGAGAGAUGAAAGCUGGGGGAGCGACCCGGAUUAGAUACCCCGGUAGUC
Molecule: ribosomal RNA, 416 nt
Filed under: uncultured archaeon
Lineage: Archaea
Description: partial 16S ribosomal RNA
Rfam family: Archaeal small subunit ribosomal RNA
Source: RNAcentral